This 485-nucleotide long non-coding RNA is filed under the name Equus caballus (horse). Its description in RNAcentral is "lncRNA (ENSECAG00000053812.1)". The record is from RNAcentral. Lineage: Eukaryota; Metazoa; Chordata; Mammalia; Perissodactyla; Equidae.
AUCUUUCUAGUCAAAUAGCAAGUUUUAUAAGCUUUAGCGUGAAAGAAAAAAAUAGAUAAGAUGCUGAAUGGCUCAUUAUUGAUACCUCCGGAUUAAGAAUGCUCCUAGUUGUUUGGAAGGUGAAGUUCAGGCAAAGUAUCGCCUUAGGAAUCUUGCAGAUACUGAUUCAGAAGGUCUGGGUGGUGCCUGAGAUUCAGCCCAAUAUAGUAAGUGAUGCCCAUGCUGCUGGUCUAUGGACUGCAUUUGAAUGGCAAGAUAUCUGUUCUGGAGAGGACGUGGGAUUGACUCACAGUAGCUUUAAGAUUCCCAGCAACAUUUUUAACACUGAAAUUCUGAUGUAACUGAUUCUAAGAAUUCACAUUAAAAUCUACGUCACUUUAUUCCUCAGUGAAAAUCUACAACAGCCUCUUGACACACCUAAGGUGCUCCUGUUUUUUUUGAAAAUAUGCCACAGAGUGUUUGCUGAAGUAUCAGGAAUAAUUAAA